RNAcentral lists this non-coding RNA (84 nucleotides) under Geosporobacter ferrireducens. RNAcentral describes it as "c-di-GMP-II sequence". It matches the Rfam family "Cyclic di-GMP-II riboswitch aptamer". Lineage: Bacteria; Bacillati; Bacillota; Clostridia; Peptostreptococcales; Thermotaleaceae. The record is from Rfam by way of RNAcentral.
UUGAAGAAAGGGAGCGUUGAAGCGUGUUUUUCAUCUGGGCACUUGAAAUACGUGGAGCGAGUAGUGCAACCGACCUUUCUUUAA